AGAAAUAAUGAAUUGAAGCUGCUAACUUUGAUUAGGGAUUCUAGUAUUCCUAUUUCUU
RNAcentral lists this transfer RNA (58 nucleotides) under Arion vulgaris. RNAcentral describes it as "tRNA-Ser". Lineage: Eukaryota; Metazoa; Mollusca; Gastropoda; Stylommatophora; Arionidae. The record is from RNAcentral.